GAGUGGAACGGGUGAGGUGCAAAGAGGACAGCCACGCCCAGGGACAGACGAAAAAAGAAAAGACACACAGAGGGAGAGAGAGACAACACAGAAAACACAAGGGGACGGGGAAACAGGAAAAACACAAGGAAAAAGGGGAAAAAACCUGGAGCCUUGAUGGGCCACUGUGACAAAGGGGCGUGUGAGAGCCUUCUCUGGAGUGAUUAUCUUCUCUGGUUGUGUAUGUAGAAGGCAUUUCAGGAGGAUGACAAAUGCUCUUUGAUCCUCCAGCUCAAAGGAUUCCUGCAUCUCUGGGUAGUGCUGGAUUUAAAACAAAGCUCGAUGCCAGUGCCAAGCUGGUAUUCCUUUGGGGUCUACAGCAACAAAACAUGCAGGUCCAAGAGAACAACACCAGUGUCCAUCGGAGCAUCAAAAGCCGUCAGAGAGUGCAGAAACAAAGGACACAGUUUUAGACGGUUAAAGAUACCAUUGAUGAGGAUGGAAGCUUAAACAGAUCAAGAAAAAAUAGUUAUGUUACUCCAGUAUGUAACUUCUUUCUCAGCUGGCUGAGUAUGUGGAAAAAAAACUUAAUCAUCAAAACAAAUUAAAUAAACUACCU
Molecule: long non-coding RNA, 598 nt
Organism: Xiphias gladius (swordfish)
Lineage: Eukaryota; Metazoa; Chordata; Actinopteri; Istiophoriformes; Xiphiidae
Exons: 4
Source: RefSeq, a predicted model, not a curated record